GGCGGCGUGCCUAAUACAUGCAAGUCGAGCGGACAGAUGGGAAGCUUGCUCCCUGAUGUUAGCGGCGGACGGGUGAGUAACACGUGGGUAACCUGCCUGUAAGACUGGGAUAACUCCGGGAAACUCGGGGCUAAUACCGGAUGGUUGUUUGAACCGCAUGCGUUCAGACAUAAAAGGUGGCUUCGGCUACCACUUCACAGAUGGACCCGCGAGCGCAUUAGCUAGUUGGUGAAGUAACGGCUCACCAAGGCAACGAUGACCGUAGCCGACCUGAGAGGGUGAUCGGCCACACUGGGACUGAGACACGGCCCAGACUCCUACGGGAGGCAGCAGUAGGGAAUCUUCCGCAAUGGACGAAAGUCUGACGGAGCAACGCCGCGUGAGUGAUGAAGGUUUUCGGAUCGUAAAGCUCUGUUGUUAGGGAAGAACAAGUGCCGUUCAAAUAGGGCGGCACCUUGACGGUACCUAACCAGAAAGCCACGGCUAACUACGUGCCAGCAGCCGCGGUAAUACGUAGGUGGCAAGCGUUGUCCGGAAUUAUUGGGCGUAAAGGGCUCGCAGGCGGUUUCUUAAGUCUGAUGUGAAAGCCCCCGGCUCAACCGGGGAGGGUCAUUGGAAACUGGGGAACUUGAGUGCAGAAGAGGAGAGUGGAAUUCCACGUGUAGCGGUGAAAUGCGUAGAGAUGUGGAGGAACACCAGUGGCGAAGGCGACUCUCUGGUCUGUAACUGACGCUGAGGAGCGAAAGCGUGGGGAGCGAACAGGAUUAGAUACCCUGGUAGU
Molecule: ribosomal RNA, 781 nt
Filed under: Bacillus amyloliquefaciens
Lineage: Bacteria; Bacillati; Bacillota; Bacilli; Caryophanales; Bacillaceae
Description: bacterial SSU rRNA
Rfam family: Bacterial small subunit ribosomal RNA
Source: RNAcentral